Molecule: long non-coding RNA, 2649 nt
Filed under: Helianthus annuus (common sunflower)
Lineage: Eukaryota; Viridiplantae; Streptophyta; Magnoliopsida; Asterales; Asteraceae
Description: hypothetical non coding rna
Source: RNAcentral
GUGUGAAACCCUAUUAUCAGUUUUGUCAGCAGGAAAUCGGAAAAAAAAAGCUUAAAUCACAUAUAGAUACUAGAUUAGUAACCCAUAUAACCUAAUAUUAGCGGCAGUCUUAACUUCAAAAUUUUAGUUUUCCUCUUAUCUAUCUUAAACCGCAUAACCAGUUCACCCUAAAACCGCAUAUGAGACCUAAUUUCUGAUGCUCGUUUGUGGUUCUCGCCAUAAGGGUGAAGUGAUAGAUGUUUCAUUAUCAAAUUAACUCACCAUCAUAUCCGAUUUGAACUAGGGGUUAACAGCUCUCAUCCAACCAUCUUCUUGGUUCGUAUUAACAAAUUUCGGCAACAUCUCUGUUUUGCAGGUUACCAUCAGGUAUUUUUUAUUUAUUUUACAUUUCAAAAUUUUGUGUUUAACUAUCAAUUGCUGAAUUUACUAAGUUUGUUUUCGUCUAACAUGUGUUUCUUUGGCUGAACUAAACAAAAUUGGGCCGAAAUCUGAUGUAUUGAAAGUAUCCACAACACUUGCUUGAUAAAAUGUAUGUGUGAGAUUUGCAGAAUAUAAUGAAGAUAUAUAGACUUGUGAAUAUGAUAUGAACUUAAAACACACAACUUCUCUCUUACACACUCACAGCUAUGAGAUCAAUUUUGCAUUGUAGAAUAUCUAGGGGAAUUGUCAUCUGAUUUUGUUAAUUUGUCCUCUUCCACUUGUAGUUGAUCAACUAUUACAUUUCAUGUGACCCCAUUUAUUGAAAAAGUUGGCAGUGUAGGUCUUGAAGUUCUUAGACCACGUGUAGUGGAAGACACAAAUAAUGCCCACACCCUUAGGCGUUUUGCGCCAUAUGACAGUUCAGUCAGCAAUGGGGCAUUAGACCAUGUGUAGUCAUAAAGCCCCUUAGGGGGCGUUAUGCGACAAGUGGCGAAAUAAUACGGGGGCUUUAUAUCACAAGAGGGUGUAGUGGUAAGGGGGUUAUAUACCCCCUCAAUUAUACAUACAUACAUAUGUAUGUAUAUAUAUGUGUGUGAAUUGGGAAGAUUGGGUCACGCCGUUAUGCUCUUCGCGAGGACACAAAUCCACCAGCCCAUAGCGCCAACUGUAGUGGUGUGCGGUAGCGCUAUGCCUCUUUUUCCCGUGAUAUGAAGCCCCACUACGGGUGGCGUUAUGGGGCGUUUUUCUAAAAUGGGUGUAGUGGGGAUGUGAGCAUUGUGGGGCAUUAUGUUAAAAGGGGUGUAAAAAAUUAAGUAAAAAAACCAUAAAAAAAGGGUAUUGGCCAACCAAAAAGUAGAAUACAUGUGAUUGGCCAAACAAUUUAAGAAGAGGCGUGGAAAAAAGGACGCCAUAUGUUUUUUUUUUUUUUGAAAAAAACGCCCCGGAGGCGGUUGAUGGGGAGCGUUUUUUUGGGGAAAAAGGCCCAAAAACUCCCAUUACGUGUGGUCUUAACACAUUGACCAACAACAUGAUAAAUUUUAAUGCUAAUACCGGGGUUGUAUGUAAAUGUGAGCACAUUUCUUGAAAAAGCUGGUACCGUAGGUCUUGAACCCUUUUGAUAGCCUCUCUAUUUAAAAAAUAUAGUAUGUGGUGUCGAAGUAUGUAUAUGGUUUGGUGUUUUGUAUUUAUAUUUUGGUGGAUUGUUUCCAGGCUGCUUCCUACUGUUUCGUCGUUUCCAAUUGAAUUACUUUUCAUCAUCAAUAAAUAAAUGUGGCUUCAAGAUGAAAUAAAGUAUGUAUUUUGGCAUUUUAAGUAGCUAGUACCAUUUUAAAGGUUUCAAAUUGAUGCGAUCUCCUGAAAAAAAAUCCAGAACUUUAAAAAAUAAAAAGUCAGAUUUUGCAUUCAGAAGGGGUCCAACUUUGGGUUUCUACAGAUACAAAAAGUUGUAUGUAUUGCAGCUUCUGGUAGGAGUUUUUUCACUUGUUUAUCGUUCACGUUAAAGAAUUUUUAUACUCAUUUUAUAAUACAGUUUGUUAUCGUUAGGGAUUAACUUUAGGCUUUCUUCCGAGUGGUGGUUCGGUUCAACAAAUCUGCAAAGAUUCACAUUGGGUUAAUAUGGUUUUUUUUUCUUUUCUAGGUGUAUCUGAUUGUGAAUAUCAUCUAACAUUUAUAAUAUUGGAACUACUUUUUGAUUAAUUAUGGAUCAGAUUGGACCUGGAUCUGGUACAAACAAACAUCUUAGAGAGGAUGCAGAAAUUGCUAUGCAAGGAUUCAUCAAUUUUGCUCAAUAUACAUCUAGUAUACAUCUCGCAGGUUUUUGAUAAAAUGUCAGCGUUUGAACUCACCUAAAAAUUAAGCGCUAAAUCAUUCAAAAUCCAAGAGAAAUCACCAGAAAGAAUUACUAAAAAUUUAGAAGAAGAAUUAAAUAAGCCGUAUAACUAGGGGUCUGCACGGGCGAUGUGGGAACAUCAGCAUGGUAAGGCUUCAGAUCUUUUAAAAAGCACAAGAAAGGGGGACAAUACUCCAUAAAUUUAUGGCCAUUUUACUUUGGGGUAUGAUGACAAGUGGAGUUUUGAGAAGAUGAUCAGAUUGAAUUAACAACUUUACUUGGAUUACUUUGUUAUUUUGAAGUUGGAAAUAUAUGUCAAAGUACAACAUAAGAUAUUUAUUACAUUUAUGUUAUUGUGCUGGUGUAAUUGAGAUACUAUUCCAUAUUAAUAAAAAUUUUAG